This is a ribosomal RNA of Chlorocebus sabaeus (green monkey), 186 nucleotides long. It matches the Rfam family "Eukaryotic large subunit ribosomal RNA", at positions 2623 to 2802 of the family's 3401-position model. The record is from Rfam. NCBI's taxonomy places the organism in Eukaryota, Metazoa, Chordata, Mammalia, Primates, Cercopithecidae.
AUUUGGGGCAGUACAGCUGUCAAAUGGGAAUACAGGUAUCCUAAGGUGAGUUCAGGGAGGACAGAAACUUCCAGUGGAGGAGAAGGGCAAAAACUCCCUUGAUCCUGACUUUCAGUAUAAAUAUAGGCCAUGAAAGCAGGGCCUGGUGAUUCUUUAAAAUAAAAAAAAAGUCUCAGAAUUUAAGAG